Molecule: ribosomal RNA, 459 nt
Filed under: Megasphaera cerevisiae
Lineage: Bacteria; Bacillati; Bacillota; Negativicutes; Veillonellales; Veillonellaceae
Description: bacterial SSU rRNA
Rfam family: Bacterial small subunit ribosomal RNA
Source: RNAcentral
CCUACGGGAGGCAGCAGUAGGGAAUAUUGGUCAAUGGAUGCAAGUCUGAACCAGCCAUGCCGCGUGCAGGAAGAAGGCCUUCUGGGUUGUAAACUGCUUUUGUCAGGGGAUAAAAUGGGCGUGCGCGCCUAAUUGAAGGUACCUGGUGAAUAAGCCACGGCUAACUACGUGCCAGCAGCCGCGGUAAUACGUAGGUGGCAAGCGUUGUCCGGAUUUAUUGGGUUUAAAGGGUGCGUAGGCGGUUUUUUAAGUCAGUGGUGAAAUACUCUAGCUCAACUAGAGGGGUGCCAUUGAUACUGAAGAACUUGAGUGAAGUCGAAGUAGGCGGAAUUGACGGUGUAGCGGUGAAAUGCUUAGAUAUCGUCAAGAACACCGAUAGUGAAGACAGCUUACUAGGCUUAUACUGACGCUGAGGCACGAAAGUGUGGGGAUCAAACAGGAUUAGAUACCCCUGUAGUC